CUCCAAGAUCCAAGAGGCCUCAAACAGAUUUCAAAUCCUCAGGCAGAGUUCUCUGAGACUACAGACGUUCGGAAAGAUUCUGGGGGUCACUGGCAGAUCCUGUCUAUCUUCAGAUCUGGAGAGCUUUAAGUCCUUCUUUGUCCUCUCGCCGUUCCUUUUAUUCCUCAGGCCUGCCUGGGGGCAGGACGACUCUCCAAACCCAGCUUGGCUGCUUGCCUCCUUCUGUGAUGCUGUGGGAGUUCUGAGGAACCAUCUCUUGUGGCCAGGGUUAUCAGAGAAGACUUCGUAGAAGACGUGUAUCUGAGGUGAGCCUUGAAGAAUGGGUAAGAUUUGGACUUGGGUGGAGGAGGGGGAAUCGGAAUAGGCAGUCACAGUUGGUAAGGUCCAUCAGGUUUUCAAGAACAGGACAAAUACCUCCCUUAGGCUGGAGCAUGAGGGGCAGCAGGGGUGGAAGAUAAAUCACUAAAGACAGGCAGAUGGAAGGGAACUUUGAAAGUCAGACCAGGUAUAGCUGGUGAAAAUCCACUGAAAAUGAUUGGGGGAAUGAUGCUCAGAGCCGUGCAUGGCUCAUGCAGGUAAGGUAGGGACUGUUUUCUGUUUGCUUGUUUAUUUGUUUUUGUUUUUUUGGCUGCACCACGUGGCAUGUGGUUUCUUAGUUCCGAGACCAGGGAUGGAACCUGCGCCCCCUGCAUUGGAAGCGUGGAGUCUUAACCACUGGACUGCCAGGGAAGUCCCGGUAGGGAGUGUUUUGAGUUGGGAGACCAGUAGAAGGCCUUGGCAUCAGUUGGAGAAAAAAGAAGACCUGAGAGAAAAUGUUGAUGGUGAUGGCAAUGGAGAGAAGGAUUGGGUAAGGGAGAGACUAUAAAAUGAUAAAAUGAAGAGGGCAAGGGAAAAGGCUCAAAGAUGGUUCUAAGUAAUGAACUAGUUGACAAAUAGAAAAGACAGAAGAGGGGAUUUAAGAAAGAGAAGACGUGAAUUCAGUUUGUGAUUAAUUGUAUUGAGAGGGCCAGUGGGGUACUUGGAGUAGAUAUCCAGAUAGGCACUUGGUGACUGAAGUCUCAAGCUCAAAAAAAUAAAAAACCUCAGAGCUAAAGACAGAAAUUUGGUAGUCUGGAUGAGACUACUAAGAAAGACUUCUCUGUAGUAUUUCAGGUUUCUGUAACAUUUGAAAUCCUCUUUUAAACUGGUCAUAGGAUCUUUUUUUUUUCUUUACAUCUUUAUUGGAGUAUAAUUGCUUUACAAUGGUGUGUUAGUUUCUGCUUUAUAACAAAGUGAAUCAGUUAUACAUAUACAUGGUCAUAGGAUCUUGACUCUGGUUUUCAAGGUCAUUUGGCCCUAACAUUCCUGGUGAGACCUUCUUUCCUCCAUCCCAACCACGUUGCUUCUCUGUUUCACCUAAUGUCGUCUUUUUCCUCCUGUAAGGUAGCAGCAAUCUCCCUCCCCCUAGGAAGCCUUUCAGGGAGGUAGAGUUAACACUAACUCCCUUGAAGCUCGCACCCUCUUCAUCUUUUUUUUUUUUUUUCCUCUUCAUCUUUGAUAUUAGGGAGGCGAUGGGGUUAAACCAUGUAUUCUGGCCAACAGCAUAUGCAAAGCCUGUGUGACGAGGAGGAACACAGCACGGCCAGUGUGGCUGGAGCACAAAGUGUCGGGGAGAGGCAGAGG
Molecule: long non-coding RNA, 1662 nt
Organism: Orcinus orca (killer whale)
Lineage: Eukaryota; Metazoa; Chordata; Mammalia; Artiodactyla; Delphinidae
Exons: 3
Source: RefSeq, a predicted model, not a curated record